GAUGAAGAACGCAGCGAAAUGCGAUAAGUAAUGUGUAUUGCAGAAUUCAGUGAAUCAUCGAAUCUUUGAACGCACAUUGCGCCCGCCAGUAUUCUGGCGAGCAUGCCUGUUCGAGCGUCAUUUCAACCAUCAAGCCCCAGGCUUGUGUUGGAGCCCUGCGGCUGCCGCAGCCUCCCAAAACCAGUGGCGGGCUCGCUAUCACACCGAGUGCAGUAGUUUACUCUUCGCUCAGGGCGUGUGGCGGGUGCUAGCCGUGAAACCCCCAACUUCUCAAGGUUGACCUCGGAUCAGGUAGGAAUACCCGCUGAACUUAAGCAUAUCAAUAAGCGGAGGA
This 334-nucleotide unclassified non-coding RNA is filed under the name soil metagenome. Its description in RNAcentral is "partial contains 5.8S ribosomal RNA, internal transcribed spacer 2, and large subunit ribosomal RNA". The stretch from base 1 to 120 matches the Rfam family "5.8S ribosomal RNA", at positions 35 to 154 of the family's 154-position model. The record is from RNAcentral.